GACUAAGGACUGAAAUCAGUUCUCAUUUACUGAUUAAUAUUUGGAUGGGAGACCACCUGGAAAUAUCAGGUGCUGUAGCCU
This 81-nucleotide ribosomal RNA is filed under the name Salvator merianae (Argentine black and white tegu). The record is from RNAcentral. Lineage: Eukaryota; Metazoa; Chordata; Lepidosauria; Squamata; Teiidae.